UGGUCCUUGAUGUGUAGGAUAGGUGGGAGGCUUUGAAGUGUGGACGCCAGUCUGCAUGGAGCCAUCCUUGAAAUACCACCCUUUAAUGGCUGGUGUUCUAACGUAGACCCGUAAUCCGGGUUGCGGACAGUGUCUGGUGGGUAGUUUGACUGGGGCGGUCUCCUCCUAAAGAGUAACGGAGGAGCACGAAGGUUAGCUAAUCCUGGUCGGACAUCAGGAGGUUAGUGCAAAGGCAUAAGCUAGCUUGACUGCGAGAGUGACGGCUCGAGCAGGUGCGAAAGCAGGUCUUAGUGAUCCGGUGGUUCUGAAUGGAAGGGCCAUCGCUCAACGGAUAAAAGGUACUCCGGGGAUAACAGGCUGAUACCGCCCAAGAGUUCAUAUCGACGGCGGUGUUUGGCACCUCGAUGUCGGCUCAUCACAUCCUGGGGCUGAAGUAGGUCCCAAGGGUAUGGCUGUUCGCCAUUUAAAGUGGUACGCGAGCUGGGUUUAGAACGUCGUGAGACAGUUCGGUCCCUAUCUGCCGUGGGCGCUGGAGAAUUGAGGGGGGCUGCUCCUAGUACGAGAGGACCGGAGUGGACGCAUCACUGGUGUUCGGGUUGUCAUGCCAAUGGCAUUGCCCGGUAGCUAAAUGCGGAAAAGAUAAGUGCUGAAAGCAUCUAAGCACGAAACUUGCCCCGAGAUGAGUUCUCCCUGACCCUUUAAGGGUCCUGAAGGAACGUUGAAGACGACGACGUUGAUAGGCCGGGUGUGUAAGCGCAGCGAUGCGUUGAGCUAACCGGUACUAAUGAACCGUGAGGCUUAACCUUACAACGCCGAAG
This 818-nucleotide ribosomal RNA is filed under the name Salmonella enterica. RNAcentral's name for it is "partial 23S ribosomal RNA". It matches the Rfam family "Bacterial large subunit ribosomal RNA", at positions 2125 to 2925 of the family's 2925-position model. The record is from RNAcentral. Lineage: Bacteria; Pseudomonadati; Pseudomonadota; Gammaproteobacteria; Enterobacterales; Enterobacteriaceae.